GCACAGAGGAGCUUGCUCCUCGGGUGACGAGUGGCGGACGGGUGAGUAAUGUCUGGGGAUCUGCCCGAUAGAGGGGGAUAACCACUGGAAACGGUGGCUAAUACCGCAUAACGUCGCAAGACCAAAGAGGGGGACCUUCGGGCCUCUCACUAUCGGAUGAACCCAGAUGGGAUUAGCUAGUAGGCGGGGUAACGGCCCACCUAGGCGACGAUCCCUAGCUGGUCUGAGAGGAUGACCAGCCACACUGGAACUGAGACACGGUCCAGACUCCUACGGGAGGCAGCAGUGGGGAAUAUUGCACAAUGGGCGCAAGCCUGAUGCAGCCAUGCCGCGUGUAUGAAGAAGGCCUUCGGGUUGUAAAGUACUUUCAGCGGGGAGGAAGGCGAUGUGGUUAAUAACCGCAUUGAUUGACGUUACCCGCAGAAGAAGCACCGGCUAACUCCGUGCCAGCAGCCGCGGUAAUACGGAGGGUGCAAGCGUUAAUCGGAAUUACUGGGCGUAAAGCGCACGCAGGCGGUCUGUUAAGUCAGAUGUGAAAUCC
Molecule: ribosomal RNA, 541 nt
Filed under: Pantoea sp.
Lineage: Bacteria; Pseudomonadati; Pseudomonadota; Gammaproteobacteria; Enterobacterales; Erwiniaceae
Description: bacterial SSU rRNA
Rfam family: Bacterial small subunit ribosomal RNA
Source: RNAcentral